GUCUCUGUUCAAUUUUAUACAAAUUUAAGUGUCUAUUUGUGCACACCCAAAGUUAAAUGUCAUAAUUGUCAGUUGACGUCAAGUUAAGGGUCAUGCUUAUGUAUUACUAUGUCAUAUCAUUUUAUUCAUUACUUUACCAAUAUAAAAUAUUCCUCCAACUUAACAUGUCUCUCAACCGCGUUGAUCUUACCAUUCAUGUCGAAUAAAAUCAUCUUUUUUUAAUUUUACAACGAUUUCCUAUUGAAAAAAAAAUCAAAAUUUCCACCGUUUUUCAGCUUCUUCAGCCUUUAACACCUUUCACACCUUUCGUCACCUUUUUCCUAUAAAACUUCAUUGUCACAAAAUAAAGGAGCAAAUAGUAUCCAAUGAUGAAGGACAGAACAAUCUAAACCAUGUAAGAAGGAUACAAACAGGUAAGACUAGAAUUUUAUUUAGUGCAAGGUGGUGGGUAAUCCUAACAACUAGCAAGCGAGAUAUACAACAAAUUAAAUACUCAGAUGGUUAGUCCGAGCAAGGUUAUGAACAAAGGGAAAGGGUGGUUGUAGGUAAUAAAUUUAAUGCACUAUCUAGGGUGGAAAUGAUUGGAAAAGAUCGGAGGGGAGACAGAUAAAACACAAGGCUAAUAAUAAUAAUGAAGAAGCAGAAAAACAACAGUAUAAAGACAUCUAAGUAGGAAAAGCAUGUAAAUAAUGAAUGCAUAAAUAUAACAUAUGACAAAGCAAAUAAAGUUGAUAAAAGGAAGGCGCAAUAUCAGGUCAUUAGCAAGAAAGUUCAUCAUGGUGAUGUUGUACAGGAGGACGAGCUCACUAGUUUGCCUCCAAACGAUAAAGCAUCCACACGAUAUAACAAUCAGGUUAGUCAAACAGAAAAGCAUCAAGUUACAGCAGAAAUAAAAAAUACCAUGCAUGAUAAGGAGAAGAAAAGGACUACAUCAUCUUUACUUUUUUUUAUGGAAUGACAGAGUAGAACAAAAAAUAACAGCAAAUGAGUUAAAGGAAGGAGUGAUACUCAAAUUAUUGCAAUGAAUGAUGAUGGACAACUACAAAUACAAUAGGAGAUUAUAGAGAAAGAUUCAGAGGUUGAUUUUGAAGGAAAUCAGGGCAAUAACUCUAAUUGAAAAGGAAUAACCCUAGCUACUGACAAAAGAUUAAUGCAUUUUAAUAA
Molecule: long non-coding RNA, 1164 nt
Filed under: Solanum tuberosum (potato)
Lineage: Eukaryota; Viridiplantae; Streptophyta; Magnoliopsida; Solanales; Solanaceae
Description: long non-coding RNA (STUB_LNC002651)
Source: RNAcentral